AGAGUUUGAUCCUGGCUCAGGAUGAACGCUGGCGGCGUGCCUAAUACAUGCAAGUCGAGCGAAUGGAUUAAGAGCUUGCUCUUAUGAAGUUAGCGGCGGACGGGUGAGUAACACGUGGGUAACCUGCCCAUAAGACUGGGAUAACUCCGGGAAACCGGGGCUAAUACCGGAUAACAUUUUGAGCCGCAUGGUUCGAAAUUGAAAGGCGGCUUCGGCUGUCACUUAUGGAUGGACCCGCGUCGCAUUAGCUAGUUGGUGAGGUAACGGCUCACCAAGGCAACGAUGCGUAGCCGACCUGAGAGGGUGAUCGGCCACACUGGGACUGAGACACGGCCCAGACUCCUACGGGAGGCAGCAGUAGGGAAUCUUCCGCAAUGGACGAAAGUCUGACGGAGCAACGCCGCGUGAGUGAUGAAGGCUUUCGGGUCGUAAAACUCUGUUGUUAGGGAAGAACAAGUGCUAGUUGAAUAAGCUGGCACCUUGACGGUACCUAACCAGAAAGCCACGGCUAACUACGUGCCAGCAGCCGCGGUAAUACGUAGGUGGCAAGCGUUAUCCGGAAUUAUUGGGCGUAAAGCGCGCGCAGGUGGUUUCUUAAGUCUGAUGUGAAAGCCCACGGCUCAACCGUGGAGGGUCAUUGGAAACUGGGAGACUUGAGUGCAGAAGAGGAAAGUGGAAUUCCAUGUGUAGCGGUGAAAUGCGUAGAGAUAUGGAGGAACACCAGUGGCGAAGGCGACUUUCUGGUCUGUAACUGACACUGAGGCGCGAAAGCGUGGGGAGCAAACAGGAUUAGAUACCCUGGUAGUCCACGCCGUAAACGAUGAGUGCUAAGUGUUAGAGGGUUUCCGCCCUUUAGUGCUGAAGUUAACGCAUUAAGCACUCCGCCUGGGGAGUACGGCCGCAAGGCUGAAACUCAAAGGAAUUGACGGGGGCCCGCACAAGCAGUGGAGUAUGUGGUUUAAUUCGAAGCAACGCGAAGAACCUUACCAGGUCUUGACAUCCAACUAACGAAGCAGAGAUGCAUUAGGUGCCCUUCGGGGAAAGUUGAGACAGGUGGUGCAUGGUUGUCGUCAGCUCGUGUCGUGAGAUGUUGGGUUAAGUCCCGCAACGAGCGCAACCCUUGUGAUUAGUUGCUACGCAAGAGCACUCUAAUCAGACUGCCGUUGACAAAACGGAGGAAGGUGGGGACGACGUCAAAUCAUCAUGCCCCUUAUGACCUGGGCUACACACGUACCACAAUGGCCGUCAACAGAGGGAAGCAAAACCGCGAGGCGGAGCAAACCCCCAAAAACGGUCUCAGUUCGGAUCGCAGGCUGCAACCCGCCUGCGUGAAGCUGGAAUUGCUAGUAAUCGCGGAUCAUCAUGCCGCGGUGAAUACGUUCCCGGGCCUUGUACACACCGCCCGUCACACCAUGGGAGCCGGUAAUACCCGAAGUCGGUAGCCUAACCGCAAGGAAGGCGCCGCCGAAGGUAGGAUUGGCGACUGGGGUGAAGUCGUAACAAGGUAACC
This 1510-nucleotide ribosomal RNA is filed under the name uncultured Bacillus sp. RNAcentral's name for it is "partial 16S ribosomal RNA". It matches the Rfam family "Bacterial small subunit ribosomal RNA". The record is from RNAcentral. Lineage: Bacteria; Bacillati; Bacillota; Bacilli; Caryophanales; Bacillaceae.